Molecule: ribosomal RNA, 253 nt
Filed under: uncultured bacterium
Lineage: Bacteria
Description: partial 16S ribosomal RNA
Rfam family: Bacterial small subunit ribosomal RNA
Source: RNAcentral
UACGGAAGGUGCGAGCGUUGUCCGGAAUCACUGGGCGUAAAGGGCGCGUAGGCGGCGCGGGGAGUCAACGGUGAAAGCUCGGCGCUCAACGCCGAGUCGGCCGUCGAUACUCCCGUGCUUGAGCACUGUAGAGGCAGGUGGAAUUCCGGGUGUAGCGGUGGAAUGCGUAGAGAUCCGGAAGAACACCGGUGGCGAAGGCGGCCUGCUGGGCAGUAGCUGACGCUGAGGCGCGACAGCGUGGGGAGCAAACAGG